Molecule: ribosomal RNA, 428 nt
Filed under: uncultured bacterium
Lineage: Bacteria
Description: bacterial SSU rRNA
Rfam family: Bacterial small subunit ribosomal RNA
Source: RNAcentral
GUGGGGAAUAUUGGGCAAUGGGGGAAACCCUGACCCAGCAACGCCGCGUGAGUGAAGAAGGCCUUCGGGUUGUAAAGCUCUGUCGCAGGGGAAGAACACAAUGACGGUACCCUGUGAGGAAGCCCCGGCUAACUACGUGCCAGCAGCCGCGGUAAUACGUAGGGGGCGAGCGUUGUCCGGAAUUACUGGGCGUAAAGGGUGCGUAGGUGGCUAUUUAAGUUGGAUGUGAAAUCCCCGGGCUUAACCUGGGUGGUGCAUUCAAAACUGGAUGGCUAGAGUGCAGGAGAGGGAAGCGGAAUUCCUAGUGUAGCGGUGAAAUGCGUAGAUAUUAGGAGGAACACCAGUGGCGAAGGCGGCUUUCUGGACUGUAACUGACACUGAGGCACGAAAGCGUGGGGAGCAAACAGGAUUAGAUACCCGAGUAGUCC